Solanum dulcamara is the source of this 156-nucleotide ribosomal RNA. RefSeq annotates it as 5.8S ribosomal RNA. The record is from RefSeq and is a predicted model, not a curated record. The transcript has a single exon. NCBI's taxonomy places the organism in Eukaryota, Viridiplantae, Streptophyta, Magnoliopsida, Solanales, Solanaceae.
GACUCUUGGCAACGGAUAUCUCAGCUUUUGCAUCGAUGAAGAAUGUAGCGAUAUGCGAUAUUUGGUGUGAAUUGCAGAAUUCCGUGAAUUAUCCAGUUUUUGAGCGCAAAUUGCGCGCGAAGCUAUUAGGCCAAGCAAACGUCUGCUUGGGCGUCA